UCCCUGGUGUCUCAGAUGGUAAAGAAUCUGCCUGCAAUGCAGGAGACCUGGGUUUGAUCCCUGGGUAGGGAA
Molecule: transfer RNA, 72 nt
Filed under: Bos taurus (domestic cattle)
Lineage: Eukaryota; Metazoa; Chordata; Mammalia; Artiodactyla; Bovidae
Also listed under: 3 other names
Rfam family: tRNA
About the family: Transfer RNA (tRNA) molecules are approximately 80 nucleotides in length. Their secondary structure includes four short double-helical elements and three loops (D, anti-codon, and T loops).
Source: Rfam by way of RNAcentral